ACAUGCAAGUCGAACGAAACUUUCUUACACCGAAUGCUUGCAUUCACCGUAAGAAGUUGAGUGGCGGACGGGUGAGUAACACGUGGGUAACCUGCCUAAAAGAAGGGGAUAACACUUGGAAACAGGUGCUAAUACCGUAUAUCUCUAAGGAUCGCAUGAUCCUUAGAUGAAAGAUGGUUCUGCUAUCGCUUUUAGAUGGACCCGCGGCGUAUUAACUAGUUGGUGGGGUAACGGCCUACCAAGGUGAUGAUACGUAGCCGAACUGAGAGGUUGAUCGGCCACAUUGGGACUGAGACACGGCCCAAACUCCUACGGGAGGCAGCAGUAGGGAAUCUUCCACAAUGGACGCAAGUCUGAUGGAGCAACGCCGCGUGAGUGAAGAAGGUCUUCGGAUCGUAAAACUCUGUUGUUAGAGAAGAACACGAGUGAGAGUAACUGUUCAUUCGAUGACGGUAUCUAACCAGCAAGUCACGGCUAACUACGUGCCAGCAGCCGCGGUAAUACGUAGGUGGCAAGCGUUGUCCGGAUUUAUUGGGCGUAAAGGGAACGCAGGCGGUCUUUUAAGUCUGAUGUGAAAGCCUUCGGCUUAACCGGAGUAGUGCAUUGGAAACUGGAAGACUUGAGUGCAGAAGAGGAGAGUGGAACUCCAUGUGUAGCGGUGAAAUGCGUAGAUAUAUGGAAGAACACCAGUGGCGAAAGCGGCUCUCUGGUCUGUAACUGACGCUGAGGUCGAAAGCGUGGUAGCAACAGGAU
RNAcentral lists this ribosomal RNA (753 nucleotides) under Ligilactobacillus salivarius. RNAcentral describes it as "bacterial SSU rRNA". It matches the Rfam family "Bacterial small subunit ribosomal RNA", at positions 53 to 778 of the family's 1533-position model. The record is from RNAcentral. Lineage: Bacteria; Bacillati; Bacillota; Bacilli; Lactobacillales; Lactobacillaceae.